UACGGGGGGGGCAAGCGUUGUUCGGAAUUACUGGGCGUAAAGGGCUCGUAGGCGGCCAACUAAGUCAGCCGUGAAAUCCCCAGGCUCAACCUGGGAACUGCGUCUGAUACUGGAUGGCUUGAAUUCGGGAGAGGGAUGCAGAAUUCCAGGUGUAGCGGUGAAAUGCGUAGAUAUCUGGAGGAAUACCGGUGGCGAAGGCGGCAUCCUGGACCGACAUUGACGCUGAUGAGCGAAAGCCAGGGGAGCAAACGGG
RNAcentral lists this ribosomal RNA (253 nucleotides) under uncultured bacterium. Its description in RNAcentral is "partial 16S ribosomal RNA". It matches the Rfam family "Bacterial small subunit ribosomal RNA", at positions 524 to 776 of the family's 1533-position model. The record is from RNAcentral.